RNAcentral lists this long non-coding RNA (523 nucleotides) under Marmota monax (woodchuck). The record is from RNAcentral. Lineage: Eukaryota; Metazoa; Chordata; Mammalia; Rodentia; Sciuridae.
CCUAGGUUUAGUGUAAUCAACAAGAGUUAUAUUUGGUGUGAUCACAAAUAGGAUGGUGUAUUCUAGUACAUUCAUUUUGGAAACUGUAACAGUAACCAAGUAUUAUUCCAAAGGAGAUAUUUGCUCUCCUGAAUUCACGAAGAGCUCCUACAGGUUAUAAGAAAAAGGGAAAGCAUGAUUUAUAAAAAAGAUUAAUAGACUCAAAAUUCAUUUGUCACUUCCAACCUAGCAUUUCCAUCCUUGAGCAUGUGUCCUAGACUGUAGCACCUAUGUCUAUUUAGACUUGCAGCCAGUACAGGACAGGGUAUCCUGUAAAAUAGCAUACUGCAAAGUAUUGCUUAGGAUUCCAUGAAAGAAAACUAUUAAAUAAGGGAAUGGUGCUUAGCAAAAGUCUAAACAUCUGUAGGGGAGACACACACACUGCCACCUGUGAGAAGGACCUUUGAGAUAUGACUCUUGUUUCUUAAUUGCUUGCUUAACCUGGUCUUUGUUGCAGUAAUUGUAUUUCACAUAUGUUUUAUAU